RNAcentral lists this ribosomal RNA (497 nucleotides) under uncultured bacterium. Its description in RNAcentral is "partial 16S ribosomal RNA". It matches the Rfam family "Bacterial small subunit ribosomal RNA", at positions 28 to 507 of the family's 1533-position model. The record is from RNAcentral.
GAUGAACGCUGGCGGCGUGCCUAAUACAUGCAAGUCGAGCGAACGGACGAGGAGCUUGCUCCUCUGACGUUAGCGGCGGACGGGUGAGUAACACGUGGAUAACCUACCUAUAAGACUGGGAUAACCUCGGGAAACCGGAGCUAAUACCGGAUAAUAUAUUGAACCGCAUGGUUCAAUAGUGAAAGACGGUUUUGCUGUCACUUAUAGAUGGAUCCGCGCCGCAUUAGCUAGUUGGUAAGGUAACGGCUUACCAAGGCAACGAUGCGUAGCCGACCUGAGAGGGUGAUCGGCCACACUGGAACUGAGACACGGUCCAGACUCCUACGGGAGGCAGCAGUAGGGAAUCUUCCGCAAUGGGCGAAAGCCUGACGGAGCAACGCCGCGUGAGUGAUGAAGGUCUUCGGAUCGUAAAACUCUGUUAUUAGGGAAGAACAAAUGUGUAAGUAACUAUGCACGUCUUGACGGUACCUAAUCAGAAAGCCACGGCUAACUACGUG